This 229-nucleotide ribosomal RNA is filed under the name uncultured bacterium. RNAcentral describes it as "partial 16S ribosomal RNA". It matches the Rfam family "Bacterial small subunit ribosomal RNA", at positions 568 to 796 of the family's 1533-position model. The record is from RNAcentral.
CGCGUAGGCGGUCUUGUCGGUCAGAUGUGAAAGCCCGGGGCUCAACCCUGGAAGUGCAUUUGAAACAGCAAGACUUGAGUACGGGAGAGGAGAGCGGAAUUCCUGGUGUAGAGGUGAAAUUCGUAGAUAUCAGGAGGAACACCGAUGGCGAAGGCAGCUCUCUGGACCGAUACUGACGCUGAGGCGCGAAGGUGUGGGUAGCAAACAGGAUUAGAUACCCUGGUAGUCC